This is an RNA transcript of Sorghum bicolor (sorghum), 4084 nucleotides long. RefSeq lists it as uncharacterized. The record is from RefSeq and is a predicted model, not a curated record. The transcript has 5 exons. NCBI's taxonomy places the organism in Eukaryota, Viridiplantae, Streptophyta, Magnoliopsida, Poales, Poaceae.
ACCUACACACGCAACCACAGCCUGCCAUGGCACUCCGCGCCAUGGCACUCCGCCAACGCCGCCGCCCACGCCGCCGCGCCUUCCCUGUCUCCGACACACCCACGCAGUCCACGGACCACCGGAGCCGUGUGGGUCGUCCGACCAGGCGGAUCGCCGACGCCUACAGCGCCGUAGGGGGCGCGUUGCUGGCGGCGGCCAGGUCUGCGCUUCACCCGCGGGCGGCGCUUGUCGCUGCUCUCGGCCUCGACUCCGUCGAGAAAGAGGCAGCCGCGCGGCGCACCGAGCUCGUCGACCAGGACGGGGACGCGGCGUUGCUCGGCGCCAAUCUCAUCAAGCAGGACCAGGAGAUCACGCCGCUUGGCUCCAACAACCUCGUCGACCCGUACCAGGCACUACCAAUCGGUUCCAUCCUCGUCGACCAGGACGGGGAGGCGGCGUUGCUCGGCGACAAUAACCUCGUCAAGCAGGACCGGGAGAUGGCGCCGCUCGGCUCCAACCUCGUCGACCCGUACCACGAGACGGCGCCGCCGCUCGGCUACAUCCGCGUCAAGGCUGAGGGAGGCAAGAGCUGCAGCGAAAUCGUCGAGGAGGAAGAGAAGGACGGAACGACCGCGCCAAUCGGUUCCCAUCUCACCGGCGGCAUCGACCGCGCCUUCCUCGCUCGGAAGGGAGCACGGAUCGCCAGCACGCCCAGUCGCAACGGCCCCCCGGAAACCACCGGCAAGAAUCAUCCUCCUACGACGUCGCAGCGGGCGCGGAAGCCGCACCAGCCCUUCUGGAAGAAGGGCGGAAUGUGCGGGGACAUCUUCGUUGGUGAUGAUCGAAUGCCCCGCAACUCCGCGAAGGGGCAGCACAUUGCUGCUGACGCCGGUCGCCUCCCCAACCCCACCUCUUCUACAGCCCGUGGCACUUCUCGUGCGGCCGGGGUCCGGCAUCACCUCGCCGCCGCCUCAUCGGGGUCGGGGACUUCUCUUCCCCCGCCGCCGCCGCCGCCACCUUCGGGGUCACCACAAGGCGCACAACCCGCUGCCUCAGGCGCUCUUCGACCGGUGCCGCAUCCAAAUGAUGUUGGUUCUACUACGACAUCGCUCCCUCGCUCAGCUGCAGCCGUGGGAGCUGCUGUCGCAGCCGCCGUCACCAACAAUUCUUCUCCACUGCAAAUAACUAUAGCUGCUACGCAAGCUAUUCCCCCGCGGUCGCCGCCGCCCACGCCGCCUCCAUCUCCGGGUUCAGGUGGUUCUGGUUCGGCUGCACAAGGACCACGACUCGCUGCCGCAGGCGGUUCCCCUCCACCGGUGCCGCCUGCUGGCCCUGCUCAUCCCGUUGUGGCCGCUGGUCCACCCGCACCAAACGAUCGCUAUUUCAACUGGGAGUCAAAUCAUAUAAAUCUUGCGGCACAAAUCGUGUCGACCAUAUUUCAGGUGAUGGGGUUGGGGGAUGCCCUGAAAGCAUGGACAGCGGGUCACUUGAUUCAUGCUGGUAGCGGUUGGAGUAGUCGGUCUCGGUAUGAUGUCAUCGACAACUGCUGUGGGAGUUAACUGGAUCAGAAUAGUGGCUGCUAAUUUGGCACGGACAACAUCCACAGUCGCAGUAAUUCUGUUCCUCCUAAUUCUUUCAGAGCCAAUUGGCUAUGGCUGGGGUAUUGGCUUCAGUGCCUUUUUCGGCACCGGAAUGAUCGUGAUUUGGGUAGUGGGGGACCCUGUAGUCUUCCAUGCACUGAGAGACUGGUCUGGGAGAAUGACAACAACAUGGUGCAGUUCAUGUUGGGACAGCAUGAAGCAGCGAGUGAACGCGCGGUGGGACAGCAUGAAGCAGCGAGUGAACGCGCGCUGGGACACCAUCAAGCAGAACGUCAGCGCAAGAUGUGACAGAAUCAAGCAGUGGCUGAACGCAGCGCCUCGUGAGCACGACCAUGAUUUUCCUUGUAAACCCGAUUUUCCUUUCAAAGGAAGAGCAGAGGCUCGAUGACCUCGACCCAAGAACGAGAACAGAGGUGCCUCAUGUCCAUGGACCUAGAAGACGAAGCUUCCCUCCUCUUCUUUUUUUUUUUCCCCUCGCCGUCGCUGACUGAAUUUCACUCGCGGACGACGUCCCCCGGCGCUCUCCAUUGGCUCCCCUGGCGCCGGCAUGCGGGCUCUGCCGGGCACUCCCGCCUUACGAUCCGCGCUGUCUGCGCCUGACCCAUGGAGUCCCGGCGACCAUGGCCCAUGGGCCUCAACGGCGGGGCUCCAUCACGUGCGUGCGCACGGCCGGGCCCGGGGGAGACAGCCAGCCAAGACACGCUAGCAUCUCGCGCUCCUCCCCUUCACCGCCGGUUCAACAAGGGAAAAACCACCGCCUCGUCGUGUGGCUCCGCGGAGAGAUUGUCGAUUCAUCGCGCGCCUCCGCGAUUCCCGCGGCCGGCGACCCCUUCCUUCCUCUGUUGGAACGUGGCGUCGUCCGGGUCCGGGCUGUGGGACGUGAGCGCAUUCGGCUCAACGGUCCGGCUUCUCUGACACGGUGGGUCCCACCUUUACCUCCGCCUCCUCAGCUCCUCCUCCUCCUCGUUGCUCCUCUCUCUCCCUGUCUCUGCCGCUGCACAGAUCCGUCGCGAACAGAGGACGUCAGCAGCGCAGCGCCGCGCCCGCCCCCGCUCCCGCUCGAGCUCGCGCCUCCUUUCAAAUCUGGUGGUUGUCGUGCGGAGGAUGUCGCCGCUCGGGGAACACGGUAUGGUGCUUCUGCUGCCGCUCAGAGAUCCACCCAAGCCUGCUUCUGCUGGUGUUGGAUCUGAUUAUGUUGGUAGGAUUUGGGAAAGGAACAAAUCCACUGAGUUGUUUUCUUUUACGGAUAUGGUAGUGCCAUGAAAAUGUUACUGUGACUGGCUAAGUGAAUUUCUUCUCAUGCAAAAUUUAUUUCCUGGACCUAGAAACAAUCAGUUCUUUUCAGCAAGUGAAAUGCUUAGUUUGAGUUUUGAUGAGUGAAAUCCUCCAGUUAGCUGCUCAAAGCACUGCUAGCUAAAUGUGCUUGGUCCAAUUAUCUGCUGUAAAUUCAGAUAGAGUAUUUCAACAUGUAUAUGUUUUGAUGUCUUUGCAGGAAGCCAUCCAAAUGUGGCGUAUGCGGUGUUGUAGUUGCAUCAUCUGCUGAUGUGGAAUCACAUCAGUAAGUGUGGAUUCUCUUGCAUUUGCCACUUUGACUCAAUAGAUAGUGAUGCAUUUUUUUCAUGGCAGGGAAUGAUAAUUCUAUUCUUUUCCCAUUUCCCAAACAAUCUUGUUCAUUGGAUUGCUGGUGGUUACUCUGUGAAACAUGUGAACCGAAAUAACCAAACUUGUCCAUUGCCUUCAUGCUUGAUGGCUUGUAUUGUAGUUCACAGGUAUAUUGGUCAUGUCCAGUGUAGAACUGUAACAGGAAAUUGUACUAAGUCAUAAAAAUACUAUGUCUGGUAACAUCAGUUAUGCUAACUCACCCAGUAGCAAAAGCACAUAAUUGUUUGUUUUUGAAUUUCCUGCUGACAGUUCAUGUAUUUUUGGGAUUUAUCUAACCAGCCCAUUAUAUGAGCUGGCUGUGUUAUUAGCUCUAAGCGACAUGUCAAUUGAAUACAGCCAACAGCAGGCUAAAUUAUUAGUCAUGCUCUUAGAGGCGAUAGGGCUUGGUGCAGCAUUGCUCUGCUCCUGCACGUGGCGGGCUGGUUGCUGCUAUCGCUCUCUGGUUAUCGGUGAAGAACAGUGCAGGAAGGGAUAUGCACUUGCUGUAUUUCCGUACAUGAGUUUCUUGGCACUCUUUUGCAUGACCCCAAACCAAGCCUUUUAUAGCAACUAACAGAUGAAGUUGACAAGGAGUGCAAGAUGACUGAUAAUGUAAAAGAAUAUUAUGAGAUUCUCAGGGUACAAAUUUUGUAGACCUGUCAGCAUAUGGAACUUUCCUAUCCUUUUAUUUGGAUCCUAUUGUUUCUUUCCAGUUUUCAGGAAAAGUACAAGCGGAUAUCCACAAUUCGUUGUACUACACACAUAUACUUCAAAGAUUAAAUGAUGCUAGAUUGCAUAAAAUGGUCAUAGCCAAAUAUAUGUGAUAGGUAGAAGGCAGGGCAUAAAUCGUCAUGUUCUGUUUC